RNAcentral lists this ribosomal RNA (388 nucleotides) under uncultured bacterium. RNAcentral describes it as "bacterial SSU rRNA". It matches the Rfam family "Bacterial small subunit ribosomal RNA", at positions 28 to 417 of the family's 1533-position model. The record is from RNAcentral.
GACGAACGCUGGCGGCGUGCUUAACGCAUGCAAGUCGAGCGGUAAGGCCCCUUCGGGGGUACACGAGCGGCGAACGGGUGAGUAACACGUGGGUGACCUGCCCUCAGCUCUGGGAUAAGCCUGGGAAACCGGGUCUAAUACCGGAUAUGACUCCAUGACGCAUGUUGUGGGGUGGAAAGCCUUGUGCGGCUGAGGAUGGGCCCGCGGCCUAUCAGCUUGUUGGUGGGGUGAUGGCCUACCAAGGCGACGACGGGUAGCCGGCCUGAGAGGGCGACCGGCCACACUGGGACUGAGACACGGCCCAGACUCCUACGGGAGGCAGCAGUGGGGAAUCUUGCGCAAUGGGCGAAAGCCUGACGCAGCGACGCCGCGUGAGGGAUGACGGCCU